AGUGAACGCUGGCGGUAGGCCUAACACACGCAAGUCGAACGGCAGCACAGUAAGAGCUUGCUCUUACGGGUGGCGAGUGGCGGACGGGUGAGGAAUACAUCGGAAUCUACUUUUUCGUGGGGGAUAACGUAGGGAAACUUACGCUAAUACCGCAUACGACCUACGGGUGAAAGCAGGGGAUCUUCGGACCUUGCGCGAUUGAAUGAGCCGAUGUCGGAUUAGCUAGUUGGCGGGGUAAAGGCCCACCAAGGCGACGAUCCGUAGCUGGUCUGAGAGGAUGAUCAGCCACACUGGAACUGAGACACGGUCCAGACUCCUACGGGAGGCAGCAGUGGGGAAUAUUGGACAAUGGGCGCAAGCCUGAUCCAGCCAUACCGCGUGGGUGAAGAAGGCCUUCGGGUUGUAAAGCCCUUUUGUUGGGAAAGAAAAGCAGCAGGUUAAUACCCCGCUGCUCUGACGGUACCCAAAGAAUAAGCACCGGCUAACUUCGUG
Molecule: ribosomal RNA, 492 nt
Filed under: uncultured bacterium
Lineage: Bacteria
Description: partial 16S ribosomal RNA
Rfam family: Bacterial small subunit ribosomal RNA
Source: RNAcentral